AUUGAACGCUGGCGGCAGGCCUAACACAUGCAAGUCGAACGAGUGGCGGACGGGUGAGUAAUGUCUGGGCAACUGCCUGAUGGAGGGGGAUAACUACUGGAAACCGUAGCUAAUUACGCCUUCCAUCGGAUGAGCCCAUAUGGGAUUAGCUGGUGGGUGGGGUAAAGGCUCACCUAGGCGACGAUCCCUAGCGGGUCUGAGAGGUUGACCGGCCACACGGGAACUGAGAAACGGUCCGGACUCCUACGGGAGGAAGCAGUGGGGAAUAUUGCACAAUGGGCGCAAGCCUGAUGCAGCCAUGCCGCGGGUAUGAAGAAGGCCUUCGGGUGGUAAAGUACUUUCAGCGGGGAGGCGGUACCCGCAGAAGAAGCACCGGCUAACUCCGUGCCAGCAGCCGCGGUAAUAC
Molecule: ribosomal RNA, 406 nt
Filed under: uncultured bacterium
Lineage: Bacteria
Description: partial 16S ribosomal RNA
Rfam family: Bacterial small subunit ribosomal RNA
Source: RNAcentral